RNAcentral lists this ribosomal RNA (497 nucleotides) under uncultured bacterium. RNAcentral describes it as "partial 16S ribosomal RNA". It matches the Rfam family "Bacterial small subunit ribosomal RNA", at positions 28 to 507 of the family's 1533-position model. The record is from RNAcentral.
GACGAACGCUGGCGGCGUGCCUAAUACAUGCAAGUAGAACGCUGAAGAGAGGAGCUUGCUCUUCUUGGAUGAGUUGCGAACGGGUGAGUAACGCGUAGGUAACCUGCCUUGUAGCGGGGGAUAACUAUUGGAAACGAUAGCUAAUACCGCAUAACAAUGGAUGACACAUGUCAUUUAUUUGAAAGGGGCAAUUGUUCCACUACAAGAUGGACCUGCGUUGUAUUAGCUAGUAGGUGAGGUAAUGGCUCACCUAGGCGACGAUACAUAGCCGACCUGAAAGGGUGAUCGGCCACACUGGGACUGAGACACGGCCCAGACUCCUACGGGAGGCAGCAGUAGGGAAUCUUCGGCAAUGGGGGCAACCCUGACCGAGCAACGCCGCGUGAGUGAAGAAGGUUUUCGGAUCGUAAAGCUCUGUUGUAAGUCAAGAACGGGUGUGAGAGUGGAAAGUUCACACUGUGACGGUAGCUUACCAGAAAGGGACGGCUAACUACGUG